UUAUUGGAGAGUUUGAUCCUGGCUCAGGAUGAACGCUGGCGGCGUGCCUAAUACAUGCAAGUCGAGCGAAUGGAUUAAGAGCUUGCUCUUAUGAAGUUAGCGGCGGACGGGUGAGUAACACGUGGGUAACCUGCCCAUAAGACUGGGAUAACUCCGGGAAACCGGGGCUAAUACCGGAUAACAUUUUGAACCGCAUGGUUCGAAAUUGAAAGGCGGCUUCGGCUGUCACUUAUGGAUGGACCCGCGUCGCAUUAGCUAGUUGGUGAGGU
RNAcentral lists this ribosomal RNA (269 nucleotides) under Bacillus cereus. Its description in RNAcentral is "partial 16S ribosomal RNA". It matches the Rfam family "Bacterial small subunit ribosomal RNA", at positions 1 to 258 of the family's 1533-position model. The record is from RNAcentral. RNAcentral also lists the same sequence under 77 other names. Lineage: Bacteria; Bacillati; Bacillota; Bacilli; Caryophanales; Bacillaceae.